RNAcentral lists this ribosomal RNA (499 nucleotides) under uncultured bacterium. RNAcentral describes it as "partial 16S ribosomal RNA". It matches the Rfam family "Bacterial small subunit ribosomal RNA", at positions 30 to 523 of the family's 1533-position model. The record is from RNAcentral.
AUUGAACGCUGGCGGCAGGCCUAACACAUGCAAGUCGAACGGCAGCACAGAAGAGCUUGCUCUUUGGGUGGCGAACGGGUGAGUAAUACAUCGGAACGUACCCUGUUGUGGGGGAUAACUAGUCGAAAGAUUAGCUAAUACCGCAUACGACCUGAGGGUGAAAGUGGGGGACCGCAAGGCCUCACGCAGCAGGAGCGGCCGAUGUCUGAUUAGCUAGUUGGUGGGGUAAAGGCCCACCAAGGCGACGAUCAGUAGCUGGUCUGAGAGGACGACCAGCCAUACUGGGACUGAGACACGGCCCAGACUCCUACGGGAGGCAGCAGUGGGGAAUUUUGGACAAUGGGGGCAACCCUGAUCCAGCAAUGCCGCGUGUGUGAAGAAGGCCUUCGGGUUGUAAAGCACUUUUGUCCGGAAAGAAAUCGCGCUGGUUAAUACCUGGCGUGGAUGACGGUACCGGAAGAAUAAGCACCGGCUAACUACGUGCCAGCAGCCGCGGUAA